RNAcentral lists this ribosomal RNA (246 nucleotides) under uncultured bacterium. RNAcentral describes it as "partial 16S ribosomal RNA". It matches the Rfam family "Bacterial small subunit ribosomal RNA", at positions 796 to 1041 of the family's 1533-position model. The record is from RNAcentral.
CACGCCGUAAACGAUGAGUACUAGGUGUAGGGGGUAUCGACCCCCCCUGUGCCGCAGUAAACACAAUAAGUACUCCGCCUGGGAAGUACGAUCGCAAGAUUAAAACUCAAAGGAAUUGACGGGGACCCGCACAAGCAGCGGAGCAUGUGGUUUAAUUCGAAGCAACGCGAAGAACCUUACCUGGACUUGACAUCCCCUGAAUAGCCUAGAGAUAGGCGAAGCCCUUCGGGGCAGGGAGACAGGUGG